AGCAAUCUACACACAUACACUCACACACCCCGUCCCUUUCCCUCCUCGCAGAAGCCGAGGAGAUGCCAUGUGAGGGUGCAGCGAGGAGUUGGGCUGUCUAAAAGCAAAGAAAGAGAUUGCAUCAGACACCGCAUCUGCUGACACCUUGUUCUUGGACUUCCAGCUUCCAAAACCGCGAGAAAUAAAUGUCUGUGUCUAAACCCCAACCCUACCACCUCAACUGCCGUGUGUGGUGUUUUGUGAUGGCAGCCCCAGCUGACUGAGACACCUGGUUAGACCGGAAUAAGCAGUACCUGAGUCCCUUAAGAGUGGCCAAAGAAGAAAGAAUCCACUGAGUUGACAUUCCAGUUCAGCUGCAAUCGGUAGCAGUCACCAUUGAACAUCCUUGAAGCAAUUCUUCCAAAAUUACCUUGCAUCAAAGACUGCACAAGAACUGCUCUAAGCGGAAGGACUGAUGUCGGCAACCAGGGUUCCACCAGGGGCUGCAGACAGCCCUUGACCUUCAGGUAGAACUGGAAGAUUUUGCUGAAAGAUUGGACAUGGCAUUCAGAGAAACAGAGGUUUUAAUGACAAACUCCAAGUUUUUGGCUGGAGCAACUGGAAGAAUGAGGUUGCCAUGAACCGAAAAGAGAGAUUGCAGAAGUAACCAAAUUUACUCACGUAGGCCAGGAAUUUCUAUGACGUGUUCCAAAUUCAGCCUCUCACUGAACACUUCCAGAGCAAGGCAACAUAAACAUCUGCAAGAAGAACAUUGUGUGAGAAAUAUCAAGUGAGAGUGGAAGAGUCUGCGGAGGGCCUCCCUGGGGCUCACCUGUGCUUUUGCCUGAGCUUCACCGUGUCAAGGAUGCAGCACUUUUUCCCUCUGGAGGAAGCAGCUUUCACCUUGGAAGAAUCUUGACCUUGCCAUUCAAAGUCACCAGACAGGGAAUCUGCCAGUGCCUUGAUCUUAGACUUCCCAGCUUCUGUAACUGUGAGCAAUAAAUGUAUGCUGCUUAUAAACUA
RNAcentral lists this long non-coding RNA (1002 nucleotides) under Homo sapiens (human). Its description in RNAcentral is "HSALNT0338174". Lineage: Eukaryota; Metazoa; Chordata; Mammalia; Primates; Hominidae. The record is from RNAcentral.